Molecule: transfer RNA, 62 nt
Filed under: Carassotrema koreanum
Lineage: Eukaryota; Metazoa; Platyhelminthes; Trematoda; Plagiorchiida; Haploporidae
Description: tRNA-Gln
Source: RNAcentral
UGCAGCUUGGUGUUUUAGCAUACUAUGGUUUGGUCGUAGAGGGGAUUUGUUGUUAGCUGCAU